RNAcentral lists this ribosomal RNA (311 nucleotides) under uncultured eukaryote. Its description in RNAcentral is "partial 18S ribosomal RNA". It matches the Rfam family "Eukaryotic small subunit ribosomal RNA", at positions 1470 to 1796 of the family's 1831-position model. The record is from RNAcentral.
CCCUUAGAUGUCCGGGGCUGCACGCGCGCUACACUGACUGGCUCAGCGUGUGCCUACCCUACGCCGGCAGGCGCGGGUAACCCGUUGAACCCCAUUCGUGAUGGGGAUCGGGGAUUGCAAUUAUUCCCCAUGAACGAGGAAUUCCCAGUAAGUGCGGGUCAUAAGCUUGCGUUGAUUAAGUCCCUGCCCUUUGUACACACCGCCCGUCGCUACUACCGAUUGAAUGGUUUAGUGAGGCCUUCGGAUCCGCGACUCGUUUUGUGGAGAAGUUGGACAAACUCAGUCAUUUAGAGGAAGUAAAAGUCGUAACA